Non-coding RNA from Callithrix jacchus (white-tufted-ear marmoset), 2216 nucleotides. The record is from RefSeq and is a predicted model, not a curated record. NCBI's taxonomy places the organism in Eukaryota, Metazoa, Chordata, Mammalia, Primates, Cebidae.
GGCUCAUACAGUAUGGCUUUCAAAUUUAUCACUGAACAUACACUAUACACGAAACCUCUGUUCCAAGCAGACUGAAAACUUCAUUGUUGCUCUAGGAUGGGGAGAUGGGGUGCUUUCCUAUCUGGGUGCCUUUGUUCAUACUAGUUUUCCUUCUCAGACAUUCCCUUUCUUAUUCCUUUCUGCAAUAGGAAUUGUUCUCAUUUUUUUUAGUCUGCUAAAAUCCAUUCAUUUCUCUCCCUGUCCCUGAUUCCCACAGCCCACCUGACAGCUCUUAAUCACUAUGUAGGUACUAUGACUAAUUCACCAUCAACAUUCAGGUCUGGCUGUGCUUUGGCUAAUAAUACAUUUGGCACUUACCACAAAUGGCCUAACAGUGUUAGGGUGCAUUUUUCUCUUGCUUUCCCAUCUAGAUUAAAACCUUAAAAGCAAGGACAGAGUCUUACCCAUAUGUGGAUCCUCAUUGCUUACCAGUCUGUAUUCCCAUAUUCUCUUGUUCAAACCAUCAGUAAGAUAUUGAUAUCACUUAAUAGUGAUUUAUAUUUCUGUCUUUGCAGGCAAGCUAUGAAUUUCGUGAUUUAAAAUACUGUCUUUGUUUCUCUAGUGGCCAGCUCAGUACCUGGCAUAUGGUAGACACUCAAUAAAUGUUUGGUGGAAGAAUGAAUGCAGGCAGGGUGUACACUGAAGAUGGCAGCUGCUGUGAGAAGGUUGUCCUGAGCAUCCGUUGCCCAACAUGUGAGUGCCAUUCCUUGGGGCAUUUCCACCACUGCAGCCCUCAGGCCUGAUGCACCUGGAAGAAUGAGCUUGACAAACAUAUUGUGCUCUGGUUCCCGUCAAGCAAAAUUCUUCAGCACCAGUUCCUCAUACCAUGCACCUGCUGUCACCCAGCAUUCGUCCUGUUUUAAGGGUACAGCUGUUGUCAAUGGAGAGUUCAAAGACCUAAGCCUUGAUGACUUGGAGGAAGUAUUUGGUGCUUUUCUUCUAUCCUUUGGAUUUCACCUUUGCGUGUCCUACAGAAAUUGUUGCUUUUAGUGACAAAGCUAAGGAAUUUCACAAUGUGAACUGAGACGUUGUUGCAGUCUCAGUGAGUUCCCACUUUAGCCAUCUUGCCUGGAUAAAUACACCAAGAAAGAAUGGUGGUAUGGGCCACAUGAACAUUACAGUCUUGUCAGAUUUAACUAAGCAAAUUUUCUGAGACUACGGUGUACUGGUAGUGUCCUGGUCUCACACUAAGAGGUCUCUUCGUAAUUGACCCCAGUGGAGUCAUCAAGCACUUAAGUGUCAAUAAUCUCCCAGUGGGCCGAAGCAUGAAAGAAAUCCUCUGCUUGGUGAAGGCACUCCAGUAUGUAGAAGCCUAUGGAGAAGUCUGCCCAGCAAACUGGAUGCUGGAUUCUCCUGCAAUCAAGCCAAAUCCAGCUGCUUCCAGAGUAUUUUUAGAAGGCAAAUCAGUAGACCACCCAUGUGUAUCUGCACCUUUUCACCCCAAAGAAGAACCAGAGUUGAAAUCUGCUUUUAUCAUUUUAGAGAUGGUUAUUUGUAGAAGGCAAGGAACCAAUUACGCUUGUAUUCAUAAAUACUACUCUAAAUGUUUCGUUUUGUAAUACUGGCUAAGACCUUUUAAACAUGAUUAGUUGCUAGUAUAAGGAAUCCUUUAUCGGUAACAUCUUGGUGGCUAGCUAGCUAGUUUCUACAGAACAUAAUUUGCCUCUAUAGAAGGCGAUUCUUAGAGCAUGUCUUCAAUGGAAACACUCUUCUGUCUUAGCCUUACUUGAAUCUUACCUAUAACAAAGUAGAGCAAUAUGCAUUGAAAGCUUCUGAUCAGGGGUACUGAAAUUUCCAUCUUGAAUGUCUUUGGGUUAAACUGAAUUUUCCUUUAAGCUAACAAAGAUCACACUUUUCAGUUAUUACCAGGCAUCUAACUCCUGCAAUGAAUGUUUAUGUGAUUGAAGCAAAUGUAAAUCAUAUUAUUUUAAAAAGUGGCAGAAUAACUUAACUGAUCAUGCAUCAUACCUCCUCCCUGAAAUUUAUAGUUUACAUAGUCAUUUUACUUAUUUAAUUCAUUAGCUAACUUUGUGUACUUAUAGUUCUAGAUAUUGAUUAGUGUGAUUGAUUAUAAAGGAUAUUUAUUGAAUCCAGGGAUUGCGUUUUGAAAUCAUAAUUAUUUUCUUUGCUGAAGUGUGCAAUGUAAAAUAUAUAAUACAAAUAAACACAUUUUAAAA